GACGCAAUUUUUCUGAUGGCUACAAAUGGGGGCAAAGAAGCUUCCUCACUGGCUCACGUCUCCUCCUCUCUUCUUUCUCUCUCUCUUUCUUCGUCACUUUGGCAAUCUGGGGGAAAGGGGGAGCCGGCGAUCGCCAACGGGGACCUUGGGGGAGGGCGUGGAUGGGCUGAGGGCCGCCGGGUCUUGGUUGGAGGAGAGGCUUUGGUUGCCGUAUUUGGUUCCAUUUCGAAGAGCCAGAUUUGGGGCGUGGUUGGGCCAAGGCGAGGGUUUUUCUUAGGGAAAAUGGCCUUGGCUUUUUCUCGUUUUUCUUACUGGAUUUGGGGCGGGAAAGAUCACGACGACCAGAGCAAUUCUUCUCUGAGUUCUUCUCCGGAUUUCCCUUCUGGGUUUGGGGAGCUGGAUUCCUUGAAAUUCCCAUCUUUUGAUGGGCCUAAGAUGCGGUCGCCGUCGAGAAGAUUUAAGAAGAAGUGGCAUAGCCGGGAAGAGCGGAGGAUCGACCGGGAGUACGAUAUCGUCCUUGUCCCCUCGGAUGGAGGAUGCAUGUCGGGUUCUGAAUCCGAUGAUUCGGACUGGUCGAUUGGGUGGUUGGAACCUCAUGCCCCUGACUUCCAAGGCGAGGCAGAGAGCAGCUUCGCCGUCCUGGUCCCGUGCUAUGGACGUGGUCGCUGCGAGCAGCCUGAGAGGUUGAAGACUCAUGUUCUGGGUGCGGGUGACCUCGUGGAUGAUAAUAUUUCUGUAUGAUAAAUGGUUUCUGGAGUUACAAAGCUCAUGUAUCUUAUGAGAGUUCUGCAUUACAUUUUUCCAGUACAUUCUGAGCGUGGAAUUGCAAAAUCAAGAUGGCAAGAAUUAUAUAGAACAGUGGCUCUCUUCUCUUCAGAAUGCCUGAUCUCACAAAUGACCUAUUUGUCAGCUUGGCCUUAUAAAGAUGUGUUCUUAAUCUUUCAAAGAUCCUAAGCUCUUACAACAUUAUAAGAAGGAAAAAAAAAAAGAUGAAAAUGAAAAAAAUGGAUAAGAGAAAAGAGAAAAGAACAUAGAGAGCGAUGGGGUGUUGAAAUUCCAGCUGGAUUUUUAGUCUCAGAAGAUUCUGAAGCAAACUACUUCUUGUGAUAAGCAACUAAAGAGAGAGAAGCAGCUGAAGUUAACUGAUCCAAUUGAAAGUUCUACACAUUUUUUCAAAUGGGGACGACUGAAGUCACUAAUUGCUUACAUUGUUUAACCCCCUUGCUCUCUGCCUCCCAUUAGGGAUUUGUUGCAUUGUGGGUAUGUACAUAUAGGUGUAUAUAGUUCUUCUGUAAAUAUCGCUGUAAAUAUGGAACCAUCCUUGACCAAUUAUGCUCUAAAUAGUCUGUGUUUUAGAAAGGCCAAGCUUCUAGCAGGUUGUAAGGCAGGUUUCACUGUUUAAUGCUAUAUAAUUUUAUAAAAUCUACUGAUUUUCUUAUUGAA
This is an RNA transcript of Elaeis guineensis (African oil palm), 1443 nucleotides long. RefSeq lists it as uncharacterized. The record is from RefSeq and is a predicted model, not a curated record. Lineage: Eukaryota; Viridiplantae; Streptophyta; Magnoliopsida; Arecales; Arecaceae.